RNAcentral lists this ribosomal RNA (468 nucleotides) under uncultured bacterium. RNAcentral describes it as "partial 16S ribosomal RNA". It matches the Rfam family "Bacterial small subunit ribosomal RNA", at positions 28 to 507 of the family's 1533-position model. The record is from RNAcentral.
GACGAACGCUGGCGGCGUGCUUAACACAUGCAAGUCGAACGGCAAGGCCCUGCUUUUGUGGGGUGCUCGAGUGGCGAACGGGUGAGUAACACGUGAGUAACCUGCCCUUGACUUUGGGAUAACUUCAGGAAACUGGGGCUAAUACCGGAUAGGAGCUCCUGCUGCAUGGUGGGGGUUGGAUAGUUUCGGCGGUUGGGGAUGGACUCGCGGCUUAUCAGCUUGUUGGUGGGGUAGUGGCUUACCAAGGCUUUGACGGGUAGCCGGCCUGAGAGGGUGACCGGCCACAUUGGGACUGAGAUACGGCCCAGACUCCUACGGGAGGCAGCAGUGGGGAAUAUUGCACAAUGGGCGGAAGCGUGAUGCAGCAACGCCGCGUGCGGGAUGACGGCCUUCGGGUUGUAAACCGCUUUCGCCUGUGACGAAGCGUGAGUGACGGUAAUGGGUAAAGAAGCACCGGCUAACUACGUG